AAAGUCGUAACAAGGUUUCCGUAGGUGAACCUGCGGAAGGAUCAUUAACACGUUCGAAACGUAUCAACCAAACGGUUAAGUGCAAACUUAUUCCCUAUCUGGGAAAACUGUUCAAUAUUCUUUAGUGAUGGGUAAGUCUUCGGAUUUGCAGAGAGUAUUGAACUAGGGUUUUGAACCCAAAGUUUUCCUUUUUAGGCUUUUUCAACCCCUUUUUUCCAUCACUUCCAACUAACCAUUUUCACCCCUUUGAAACUUAUGACUAAAUCUUUCGAACGAAGAAAUUUGUUUGGAAUUGUAUAUCUAACACUGUACAACUCUUAGCAAUGGAUAUCUUGGUUCUC
RNAcentral lists this unclassified non-coding RNA (341 nucleotides) under fungal sp. RNAcentral describes it as "partial contains small subunit ribosomal RNA, internal transcribed spacer 1, and 5.8S ribosomal RNA". The stretch from base 1 to 47 matches the Rfam family "Eukaryotic small subunit ribosomal RNA", at positions 1785 to 1831 of the family's 1831-position model. The record is from RNAcentral. Lineage: Eukaryota; Fungi.